AUACGUAGGGGGCGAGCGUUGUCCGGAAUGAUUGGGCGUAAAGGGCGCGUAGGCGGCCUGUUAAGUCUGGAGUGAAAGUCCUGUUUUCAAGAUGGGAAUUGCUUUGGAUACUGAUGGGCUUGAGUGCAGGAGAGGUUAUCGGAAUUCCCGGUGUAGCGGUGGAAUGCGUAGAGAUCGGGAGGAACACCAGUGGCGAAGGCGGGUAACUGGACUGCAACUGACGCUGAGGCGCGAAAGUGUGGGGAGCAAACAGGAUUAGAUACCCUGGUAGUCCACACUGUAAACGAUGAAUGCUAGGUGUAAGAGGUAUCGACCCCUUUUGUGCCGGAGUUAACACAAUAAGCAUUCCGCCUGGGGAGUACGGCCGCAAGGUUGAAACUCAAAGGAAUUGGCGGGG
RNAcentral lists this ribosomal RNA (397 nucleotides) under uncultured bacterium. RNAcentral's name for it is "partial 16S ribosomal RNA". It matches the Rfam family "Bacterial small subunit ribosomal RNA", at positions 523 to 918 of the family's 1533-position model. The record is from RNAcentral.